CAGCUGUGGUCUCUAGAAGAGGAUCGCAACCACUGGAGGAUCACAAUUUCCACUGUCUGAAAUGUCAGUAAGAAAUGGCAGCAGUUAAAAGGAACUGUUGAAGUUAAGAUUUCCUGAUGUGAAAACUAGGAAAACCCCCACUUUUGAUGAUGCAUCCUGAAGAUGGGUGGAACCUUUGAAAACCUAUAACUGCUUGUACAACUGGAUGGGCUGUGAAAUGCUUUGAAAUGCUUCAAAUUGGCAUUACUAUGGAGAGAAUGGACAGACUAAAUAUGGCAAGAUUUCCUGGCAAACAGGAGAGAGCAGGUGCGGCUGGGAAAACACGUGUCAGACCCCCGGACCCUAAGUGCUGGAGUUCCAUAAGGCUGUGUGCUCUCACCCUCUCUCUUCAGUCUACACAAAUGACUGUCUCUAAGGAACCAGUUGUGGAGAUCCUGAAGUUUGCAGAUGACACCACUGAGGUGGGCCUUAUAGCCAACAGUGAUGAGUCGGCUUACAGAAAGGAAGUCGAGCAGCUGGUCUCCUGCUGCUGAACAUGCAAAACAGUGGAGAUGGUGGUGGACUUCAGACACAAUUCCCCCUCCUUACCCCCUCAACAUCAAUGGCUCUGUGGUUUCCACUGUUGAGUCACUCAGGUUCCUGAACACCACCAUAUCCAGGGAUCUGAAGGAGGAGAGGAACAUGCUCUCCAUAGCCAAGAGAGCACAGCAGAGAAUGUCCUUCCAGAGACAGCUGAAGAAAUUGAACCUGCCACAGACCCUGAUGUUCCAGUCCUACACAGCGAUCAUCAAGUCCAUCCACACUUCAUACAUAACCAUCUGGUUUGUUUCCUCCACCUCACAAGAAUGAGCCAAACUCCAGCACCUAAUCAGGACAGUGGAGAGGACCAUUGCAUAUAGUCCAUCAAACACUUCCGGACAUUUACAACAGCAUGGUGAUCAAGCACGCUGACAAAAUAACAGCUGACCUCUAUCAUUCUGGACAUCUCCUCGUCCAGUCAGUUCCCUCUGGUAGAAGAUUCAGGACCAUCAAAACCAGCACAAGCAGACAUGCUUUCAGCUUUUCCCCCAGAGCUGUAGUUCUCAUUAACCACAGUGGACACCUCAUACUUUAAACCUAAACCAACAAACCUCUUUAGCAUAUUACAGCACAACUUAAAGCUUAUUUGCACAGCUGUACACGUUAAAUUCUUACAAAUGUCCAUAUAUGUUUUAAACUUUUUCUACUUAGAUCUAUAUAUGCAUCGAUAUCCAUACCUGCACAUGUACAUUUAUUCACAUAUCUCUUAGCUCCUCUCCAUGGUUCUUUAUUAUUUAUUCCUUAUUCUGGGUUAUAUUUAUUGUGUUUGUAUUUUAAUUUUCUGUUAGUUCAAUAUUUCCUAAAAGUCUGUGUGCUUGUUCGGUCUGGUCACUAUGUUAAAUAAUAAUGAAAUGAUGAAACAGAUGGUAAUGACUGGCCCCUCCCAGUGUUCCAUGUGCGUCUGUUUACCUGUCCAUGUGCUUCUUUGUUUGGUUUCCUUCCAGUUCUGCCCCCUUGUUUCUUGUCUCCGCCCUUGAUUGUUCCCACCUGUUUUCCUGUUAUCCUGUUGUUAGCGCUCUUGUAUUUAAGCCCUGUGUUUUCCCUAGUCUAGUGCUGGUCUUUGUUUGAUAUGUUUGGUAUGGUAGUGUGUUUGAAAUGUAUGUACUGUUAGGUGUUUGGAUUUCUGUGUUCCUUGUCAUGUCUGUCCCUCCUGCUCUCCGUGUUGGCUCUCUGACCCUGGACUGUCUGGACCCUGAUUAUGGAUUAGCCAUCAAUAAAUCUUGCUUUUC
This is a long non-coding RNA of Pygocentrus nattereri (red-bellied piranha), 1808 nucleotides long. RefSeq lists it as uncharacterized. The transcript is spliced from 3 exons. NCBI's taxonomy places the organism in Eukaryota, Metazoa, Chordata, Actinopteri, Characiformes, Serrasalmidae. The record is from RefSeq and is a predicted model, not a curated record.